This 7523-nucleotide long non-coding RNA is filed under the name Heterocephalus glaber (naked mole-rat). Its description in RNAcentral is "lncRNA (ENSHGLG00000042847.1)". Lineage: Eukaryota; Metazoa; Chordata; Mammalia; Rodentia; Bathyergidae. The record is from RNAcentral.
CCGGGCGCCGCGCGCAGCCAACGAGCGCACUGGAGGGCGGGCGGCGCGGGCUGUCACAGGAGCCCGACGCGCGCUGCAGGUGGCAACUUGGAGGUACCGCUGCGGGAGGAGCCCGGGUCUGGCCGCCCCUUGCAUCCUCUGGGAGCCCUUUCCUGCGCCCGGGCCGGGAGAAUCCGGAGGAACGAGGCGCCGUGCGGAGACUUCUGAGCGGCGCUGCCUGGCUGCCCUUGCGCUACUUUUAUUUUUUUCUUCUCCGAGGAAGGUUGUGCCUGGGGGCUGGGAACAGGCUCCGGAGGCGCCGGCGAGGCGAGGGAGGUUCCCGAGACUCAGGUGAGUGCCUUCCUCCCGGUGCGCAUCCCCACAGGACGCAGGCCCGGGGCCCCGGGGCGCCCCGUAGGCGGGGCCCAGGCGCGGGUGCCUGUCCUUGGCUCGAGGUCGAGCGAGCAAGGGCGAGGCUGGCCAGGCUGACGUCGAGAGGUCUCCCGGGCGGGCGCCCCGAGGCGAGGGGCUGGCGGAGAGGUGUCUCGAGGCGGCCGAGGGCUGGCGCCCCGGCUGGAGCUGGCCCAUCGCCCUUGUGCGCCAGGCUGGGGCCGCGGCGGGAGCCGGGCGCGGCGAGCCGAGAUCCGCACCGGAGCGAGCCGCGCGCCGGCCCGGGCGAGUGCACGGAUCUGCGGUCCCGCGGAGCCGGGGGCCCUGGAGGACGUCAUCCCCCUCCGCUCCGGCAACUCCUCCUCCGCCCCUCGCCUCCACCCUGCGCGCCCGCCGCUCAGCCUAUUCGGAGACUCCGUGCCGGGGCCAAUGCGCGCAGUGGUGGCUGCUGUCACUGCCUUCCCCGCCCUCGCCGAGUUGGGGCGCCCUGGGGUCCGCUCCUGGCCCCAGCAGCCUAGUUGCGCACAGGGCCGAGUCGGGCCGGCCGGUCCUCUGCUCCCAGGGCCCGGGCCGAGCGCGGACUCGCUCUCCAGUGCUCCCUCGGUUCCAUCCCCGUCUCUGCCCUGAGCGGGAUCUUGGAAACCAGACCUUGCUCGCCCGGGGAGGUCCUAGGAAGGCGCGAGCCUCGGAGACGGGGCAGAACCUCCGCCUGCACCUCGGCAUUUGGGUCCCUGCCUUCCGGUGCUCAGUGGCUCGGCGCGGAAGCAGAUGCGCGGGGGUGAUCCCGUGGGAUCCCCGGAGGCCGCUGCUCGGAGCCCGCUGCUCGGAACCCGCUGCUCUGGCCCCGCCGAGCCGCAGGGCCGCGCCCCCCUCGCCCACUGCGCACCCCGCACCCCGCGCCCCCGCCUCGCCAGUGCCUGCCCCCAGCCGGGCGCGUCCCGGGGUGGGCGUCGCGGGCCUACAGCCGAGCGAGCGAGGCUGAAGUUCAGAACCCGGGAAGGGGGGUCCUCCGGGCUCUCCAGCUCCCUGCGGUCGGCUGUCAGAACCCCGGCUGGAGGUUGGCAGUGACCGGGCCGCGUCCCCGGGAAGCCCACGGGGGAUCCCCGGCUCCCUCUGGCUUGCAGGCCGGGCGCAGGGACUGCGGGCGGUCGGGAGGCGCAGCGGAGUGGUGGGUGCUGGGCGCCCCGGGGCAGCGGCGCCCGGGACCCCGGAGUUGCACUGGAAGUUAGGGCCCCGCGCCCAGCUGCGGCCCGGAAGCGGAGACACGCGGCGCGGUCGGACACGCGCUCCGCUGCCCGCCGGGCUUUCACUUUCCCUCUGCAGAGGGAGCGCGGCGAAAAGCGGGGUGCAGGCGGUGAAAUUCCCCUGGGCGCCGGGGCUGCGUCCAAGGGGGAAAAGGCCAGGGCAUGGUCGCGGCGAGGCGACACCCCGACCCACUCCGCAGGUCUUCGCGGGGCCUUGUGCAGCCCCCUCGGACCCGGGUUGGGACAAGCUCUCGGCCCCGCCCCUGGCCCACGACCCAUGUAAUUUCCUCCAAAGUGCAUCGGGUUAAACCGGGCCCUGGGAGAGCGCUGGCACCCCAGGAACGCAUGGAAGUAGAGACGACUGCAAAUCCCAGAUCUAACUGUGGGUUAAAUCAGGCUGUUUGCACGGGAGCCGACUAAUAUGGUCUGGCAGGGUCUGCGGGGCGGGGUCGGGGGUGGGGCGCUCUCGUGCGUCUCUUGCGGCAAUCCCUGUGGGGCCCUGCAGGAUUUUCCCACCCCAAGCUGAGAAGGUGCAGUCAAUGGGGUGGGAGUGGGGCGCGCGUGUCCACAUGGCGUGGAGCAGCGAAGGAUCCGAGUUCUGGUUGGUUUCGAACUGGCGUGGGUCUCCAGGCCCCAAGAUCAUCCCAGCCACUCUCCUGUGGGGUCAGCCACCUCUUGGACUGUGACCCCGGGAGGCUGUUACUGGUCCCGAAGAGGACUUUCCAACAGGCUUUUUAGCACAGGCUGAACCCCAGGGGAACCUUCUGUGUGCCGGGGAGCAGAGAGCAGUGAGGGCACAGCCAGGACAACUUCACAAAGGAUGGCUCAGUGGCUUGGGCUUCAAGGAGGAAGAGGCCUCCAGGAGGACUGGACGAACAGAAAAGAGGACUGUGUGCCACAUCCAGCGCUCCCUGGCCACGCCAGCACUGGACAGUGAGUCUCAGCCUUCGCUCCCCUGUGCAUCCACAGCAGCCACCCUCCUCUCUGUUUCUUCUUUUCUCCAAGCAAAAGAGCCACAGCUUCUCCUGCUACCCACAACCCCAAACUGCUGGCCAUCACCACGCUCCAGGGUGCGUUGGCAUGCUUUCUCUGGGAAAAAAAAUAAAGAGAAGUCAGAACUAAAACAGGGCAUGGUUUCUGCAGGAUUUUAAGUGAGGACAGGUUGGCUGUGAAUGGUUCAUUAAAAAGACCCGGGGAGUGGGUGAGUCACAGUGUGCUCCUCUUCUCUAUGGAGAAUAAUAAUUUUCACCUCCUGCUCUGUGAGAAUUAAUUUAUGACUUCAGAGUUAUCGGAGACACUUGGAAGGGAAGCGUGAGACCUAGCACAUGGGAGUGCAGGAUUUGCCAGCUCAGAGCUGGUUAACCACGAAUAGCAAAGAACACAAUUGGAAAGAAGAAAUGACUUUCACCGAUAUUGCACAUUUGCACUCAUUUGUGGAAGCUAAAAAAAGUUGAUUUCAUAAAUGUAGAGAGCAGCUGAGUACUCUGGGAAAAUGAGCCAGGAGGGUCGCCAAAGUUUGAGCCCAGCCUGAGCAACUUAGUGGCUUAGCGAGACCCUGUUUGAAAAUAAGAAAAGAUUGGGGUGUAGCUCAGUGUCACAGUCCCGCGUUUAGCCCCACUGUGCCCCCCAGGAAGAAUGCUUAGCAGAGGCUGGGAGGGCCAAGGGGAAAAGAUGCAGAAGGGUUAAUUAAUGAGUGGAAAAGUACAAUUAGAUAGGACAAUUCAAUUCUAGUGUCUCAGCGCCACAAUGAAUCCGUCAGUCAUCACCAAUCAAUACAAUGAAGUUCUGGUGUUCUACAGCACAGGAAGAUGACUGUAGCAUAUUUCAAAGUGGUUAGAAGAGAGGAUUCGGAAUGUUUCGAACCCAAAGGAUGAUUACCGUUUGAGGCAGUAGAUAAUGCUGAUAACUUUGACUGGAUCAUUGUGUGCUGUGUACGUGGGACAGAACACCACACUGGACUCUGUGAACGCACGCAAUUAUUGUAUGGCAAUUUAAAAAUAAAUAAAUGCUUGAAAAUCUGACUUUCCCUAGCAAGCUGCCCGAGACUAGCAAUUUCAGAAGAUAUUGCACCUGAUCUUCACAAUAUAGGUGGAGAAAUACAGGUGCAGCUUAGAAAUAGCUUAGGACUUGUUACUCGACAGGGAGGCAGAGGAAACUGCAGAAGAGAAGUCAAGAUAGCCGCCUCACUUGCUCCGCUGCGCAGAAGCAAAAGGGUGCUUUGUUUCAGUGCUAGCUGAGUGGCGUGGAGGAUUUGGUGUUGUGACCAUGUUAUGGAAAACAGCCAGGCUGCUGGGGAGCCAUUGGGUUCUGGCCUGCUCAGGGUCUCGUGGGCCAGAGCCACUGCAAGGGACAACAGUUCUUGAAAAGAAUUGAAGCCACAAGAGCUGCAGGGACACUGUGUUGGAAUCCUGUGCAGUGAGAGCAUGAGCGGCUAAGUGGGUUAGAAGCAGUGCCAAUGGCAUUGCGUAUAGUGGGGACUAGUAGAAGAGGUUUCUGUCGUAGAGCAGGAGCUGAGACUGGAACUGGAGAGGACAUUCAUGGGCGAAGGGCCGGAGGUAGCGCUUGUUCUGGGAGCAGCAGCAAAAGAGCAGGAGAGCUGCCUUUCUAAUGUGGCAGGAAAGCCAGGUAGUCCGGAACUGACCCCUCGUGCCUGACGUGAGGUCUAAGUCCACAGUCCUCGCCCUGAGAGCAGGGUGAAGCUGCUCACAUGACCAACAACACACACACACGGAGCCCUGGUCUGGCUCUUAGGUUCACACUGCUCCCAGCACCAAGCUACUGGUGUGGACCCGACCUGCACUCUUCAACCUUCUCAGACAUCUUGUCCCGCCCGUCUGCUGCCCUGAGGACAGGCCCCGGCUCUUCCUCAGAACUGCAAACAGAACGUGCCUGAAACCCUCCUCCAGCCUCCCCCCCCCCGCCUCACCUCCUCUUCUCAGGGUUCCAACCCAGACUCGCAGCAUGGAAUGUCGGUGGCCAUGGCCUGGGGGUUCCCGUGGCCACUUCUUUCCUAUCAUGUUGCCAUCUGUCCUACUCCAGACCCUGUCACCUCUGGCGUGGACGGGUACAUUAAUGUCCCAGCUCCCUCUGGCCUCACCUUCUCAGGCUUCUGCCUUCAGUUUAAUCUUUUUGCAGGGCUGCUUUGAUGAUAUCACUCCCGGCCCCAAGCCUCUCACCACCCUUGCUUCCUAAAGGCCGAGGUUUGUGUUCAAGCCCAGAGUUUGCUCUUCCACAUCUGCAGGUUCGUGUUAUCUCCUGCUGCAGCUCUCACCAGUGCCUCUAGCAACCUUCUGCUCUUCCUGCUCCUAUGACAUUUACCAUGCAUGGGGCAGGGGUGUCCUGAGAUUGAGCCCAGAGCCUUGACACCAAGCCCUUUUCUAUUUAUCAUUUUUAUUUGGACACAAGGUCUCCCUCGGUUUCCCAGGCUGGCCUUGAACUUGUGAUCUUCUUGCUCAGCCUCCCGAAGUGCUGGGAUUAUAGGUGUCCACCACCACGCCGGUUCCGUGCAUUUAUUCUUUAGUGUGUCUCACUGAUUGAGAACUAGGACACUAUUUUAUUCAUCCUCAAGUUCUACAGAGUGGCACGCAGGGUGGGGACCCCGUGACAUGUUCCUGAGCAGACGCCUGUCCUCAGAGGGCUGGGGCAGUCCUGAGAGAGAGGGGGAUUUCACAGACUUGGGUGAAACCCUGUAAGGAAGGAGUACCCGGCCCUGGAGCAAGUCCUUACAGGCAGAGCGGAGCACAGGCCACUGGGGAGAAAUUCAAAAGCCACCCUCUCCGGCGGCAUUCAUCUAAUUACAUGGCUAAUUUAGGGCGGGGAGAAUCUGUAAAAUUAUCAGAUUCUUCAUCGCAGAGAUGAGUAUGUAGUCAUGGGAGCUCUGCCAAGAUUGCAAAAGCAGACAGGACGUGGGGAGCCGAACUGACAGGGAUAGAGACUGGCUUGCAAGCCAAGCAGGGUGCCUGGAACGUGCUGGAAACAUCCCGGAAUGUGGAGCAAAUUCCUAGGUUGGGUUUAGGAAUUUGUCUGAUCUAGAAUCACUUUUAGAGUGGUUGACAUUAUGACUCCUUGAUUCAUAGAACAAAAUUAUCCAUGUAUUGAAAUGUUUCUGAUCUAGAUAAAACUCUUAAUUCAGAUUUUUAGAAGGUGAGACUUUUUGGAAUUCCAUACUUUUUGAAAUGAAAAGAUGGGACCUUACCUCAUGUGCGUACUGAAUAUUUGCGGUCAGAUGGAGGAAAAAAUAUUAUAAGAAAAUCACCAGCUUCCACAUUGAAGCAACAACCCAAACAGUCUUAGCCAUACAAGCCUUCAAACUUCAGAUGAACAAUACACCCUCAUCAAAUAGUUGUAAAUAGUUCUUUGCUCGUGAGGAAUGAGCGCAUAAAAAACAACAAUAACAACAGUAAAAUCCACAGUGCAUGAUCAAGUACUGAGGUUUUGAAUAGAAAGGAGUCAGACACUUUAUUACAGAAUUACUGUAUAUAUUCAAGUCUCUUCUUGAGGUCUAAGUUAUCCAAGCUGCUGGAUCCAUGUAUAUACAUUUUGAUGCAUGGUAUUUAUAGUUGAUGUAACUGUAACAAAAGGAUGUUGGCUGUCCACAGUGUGCAAUAUUUGGCUACAUAUGUGUGAGUCACAUGAGAAAGUUGUUCCAUACCCAGCUCCUCGGUGAGCUUACUGAGCCUUUCUCUGAUUACCUGCUUCCUUGGCAAAAGUCACAGAAUUCCCUAUGUCAUUACAAGGUGAAAACAAUGAAAUGAUCUCAUGUUUGUGACGGCCCUUUAGGAGUGGCAGCGUGAGACAUUCACAAUAAUUAAUUACUAGAUCAGCAUUAUACCAUCUUUGUAACCCCUUUGUAAGAGUAUAACAUGGAACACUCUCAAGGACUAUUUGAAUACAAGCAAAUAUUUAACGAGUGGCUCCUAUUUACCUUUAAAUAAAAACAUUCAUUAUUCCCCUUAAUUAUCACAAAAAUUUUGCAGAGCUAAAUAGUGAGAUCAAGGGUUUGUGUGUGGGCAAGGAUCAUUUUGAUAAGCUGGCAAUCUAGACAUCUGAUUCAAGAACCAUUCCUGGCACAGAUUGCUAUAUGACUGCGUUGAGUCCUCCCUGACACAGCUGUUUCUUCGAAUGUUGGGUGCCCUUUGUAGGCUACAUUGUGGGUUAGACAAAUCAUCACGCAAGGAGAGUGUUUCACAUGCAUGGGCUCCUUGACGUGCUGUGGACUUACACCCUGAUACACACAUUGCAAGUUGACAGUACCUUUGCACCCAGCUUACUGGGGCUCAGCAACACAGUGCAUGGCAUGGCGGACUGGGAGCUGCAGCUUGCUGCUCCUGGCCUGCAGCCUGAGAGAGGAGCGUGCUACUUGCCACUAGAAAAAGGUCAAAAUUCCAAAUUCAAAGAAUAGUUCCUUCAGAAUACAUACCACUUCCUCCCCACUGUAAAGUCAAACAUUCUUAUGUCGGGAUCAUCUAUAGUAGCCUGCAGUUCCUAAGCAGCAGAAUUAGCAGGGUGAUACAAUGUAGAAUGAUAUCUAUGACCUUAUUACUUUGUCUAGUACCAAGGGACAUAAUAGUACCCACUGCUAGACAUGCUCAGUACUGUUGCUACUAGUUGAAUAUCUGGGGAUAAAUCACUAAAUGUUCUGAGCUUUAGUUUCUCCUGCAACGCUAGUUGAGGAAUGCCUACCUAGCAAAGUGCUUGUAAGAAAUAGAAAUAAUACUCCUCACAUGACGAGCACAUAGUAGGUGCUCAAAAAAGUAUACCUAUUCCUUUGGUGUCCGAUGAUAAGUAUCAAUAUUUAAUUUAGUUUGAAAAUUCAUAUUUAUCAAAUCAGUCUUUACUUUCACUAUUUGCAUUUCAAGCCUUUUAUCCUGUUUAUGUACUUUGUAACCAUUUUUAGAAAUGAAAUUUACC